UACACAUGCCUACUCACGCUCUGCCAGCAUCGCCAUCGCGACGUCCGACUGAAUAAUCACACCGACUAUAACGGCUUUGCCGGAUAUGCACAACUUUGUACUGAACGAGUCGUUUACGCUCCCAAAGGCCCCAGAAUCCAAACCAACGUGAGACCGAUUGCAUAGGCUCUACACUGUGCCCUGAAUCUCACGGACAACAGUUGGAUAAAUGCUGCGACUCACGCUUCAAGAACAAAACUUAAGCAUGGUGUUGGAGGAUGUCUGAUAUCUAUAAAACCAAAUUGAAGAUGAUAAAUAACUUCAUGUGGCAAGACAGGAAGAAUGCACAGAAAAAUGAAGUAAAAUAUAAAGCUGGGUUGGAAAACUAGUACCUAUUGUGCAUAUUAUGUUGCAACUUUUAAUAAGUUAGCAAGAUGCAUGCUGUUUUCUUUCGACUCAAGUCAAAGAUUAGAAUUUAAAGUUAAACAAAAAAAGUGUCUAAUUUUAUAUAGGCUUCCUUAUUUUAAGUAUUCAAAUUAAAAAAAAACAUACCUGUGAUAAGAACACGGGGAUGAUCCGACUCUGCAAAAGACACAGAGUGAAAACUUGCAUCGGCAUUUACUUGCCUUGGAGAGCAGCUCAUUCGUCUUAUUGACACAGGAGGAGUCUGGCAACUACAACCAUUGCUCAGUAGCACUUGUUUAGCAGUCUUUGCCAAAUUCCUGAAAACUGGCAUUCUUCACGUCUGAGAAUAAAGGAUGCAAGUUCAAGUAGGCAGUUAAAGUAAACUCUAAAACAUGCUCAGUAAUUUUAAAUGAGUCUUUAUUGACGUGAUUAAAACACAGUCUAUAACAUAAAUUACCAUCCAGCCCAACUAACACAUACCAUUUCACACUAAAGCCUCACUCCAUUCCUCUUUUUCUAUUUGUCAGUAUAUCCUUACAAAAAAAAAAUUUACCUUACUCAUCUAUCUUCCUCUAAAAUUCAGGAGUGCAUAUAUCUUAAUAACUAAGUUAUAUUCACAUAUCCCUCAUUCUCAGCACUCCUUGGUUAAGAAUUUCCCAUUGAAUACAGUAUACCUAAUGUUUAUCAUUUCUAAACUUGGACAUUAAUUUCAAAACAAAAUUAUGCCCUGAACUUUGCUGUUCCAUUUGAGUUCAAAGCACUUAUUUGUUGUUACCGUUUGUUGUUCCUUCUCAUUUCUUCAUGCCUUUGUAAAAACAAAGAUCUUAGUUUAUGUGUCUAUAAUCCAGCACCUGACUCAACUACAACACCUACCUCAUAUUGAAAUCUUGAUAUAGUAAAUUCACAGUGAAAAGGAAACACACACAGUCAGCUGGAUUGAGAAAAACCACAAUGGGUAAAACAUUGGUAGAUUUAUGCCCACUGAGGAAAGUUACUCUUUACUGUCCAAAAAAAACUGUUAGGAAUAUUGGCUGUAUGCUACGUAUAUCCAAACAAUUAAAAAAGCGUACACACAGAGAUCAAUGCCUUUAAAACCAUGAUCGCAAAAAAAGUAUCUUUAUCUACUGUUUGACACAGACUGCAUCACUGCAAGAUGCCCUCCUUGUGUAACACUAAAUUGUUUCCUAUCAGUGCUUUCAGCAAAUGUUCUCCAGACAAAUGUUAUUUGCUUAUGCAUGCUGAUGUCUGUGAAGAACAAAGUGCUCGGAGACACACACUGUAACCAACAUAAGCUGAACAAACAAAGCAAGUUACGUACAAAACCUAAUCAAAAGUUCCAAUCUCUAAAUAACAUUUGGUAUAACGUAAAUGCACAAAACAUUCUGUUGAUCCUCCCCAAAUUAUUUCCAAUUUGUUCCAGGCACUUGAUCAACAAUAUACACAAAACAAAUCCAACUGGAAGCUAGUCAACACUUUUGCUGACAUCAGGUAUUGAUCUGGUUCACAAAUCAGAAUUCAAGCAAAUAAUCCACACAGUCAUAUCCUGGCAAUCACAAAUCAACUUCAAGAAGAUAGCUGUUUGGCCUUCCCCCAAAUAUGAUCAAGCCACAAAAAUAAAAUCAUUAACACCUAGAAGACAUUUUGUUCAAGACUAGCAAUUCACCACAAAUUCAAUGCUCACGUGUUCCCCACUACCCAUUAUACAACAUCAGGACCAAUCGCUAUCAUUGUACAAUAGAUUUGGUGACUAAAGAGUUGGCAUGCCAAAGGCACUAUUAGAAAGCAGGGAUUUGUGAAUUUUUAACUUCACCAUGCUAAUUGCUGUACAAAAUAUUGCCUUAAGUGGUCUGAAACAGUGGCAUUCUUUUCAUUGCUCUCUAACAGAAGGUCUGUCAGCUGCCAAAAACUGAAAUUCAACUGGAUAAAUAUAGUAUAGGAACCACAGAUAACUGAAAGAAAUCUUUUAGCCUAUGUAGCUGGAACUCAACAAUGUGGAUGAAGUUUACUUCUGAGGAGCCAACUCAUUCAUGCCAACCAGAUAUUCUAUCUAAAUCUAGUCCCACUUGCCAGCAUUUGGCCUAUAUCCCUCUAAACCCUUCCUAUUCAUAUAUCCAUCCAGAUGUCUUUUAAAUGUUGUAGUCAUACCAGCCUCCACCCCUUCCUCUAGCAGCUAGUGCCAUACAUACACCACCCUCUGCAUGAAAAAGUUGCUCCUUUGGUCCCUUUUAAAUCUUUCCUGUCUCACCUUAAACAUAUGCCUUCUCGUUUUGGACUCCCCCACCCCAGGGAAAGACCUUGCCUUUUACCCUAUACUCGCUCCUCACGAUUUGAUAAACCUUUAUAAAAAGUCACCCCUCAGCCUCCAAUGCUGCAGAAUUUGAGUUGGAAGUUACUUGUGCAUACCCACUGACAGUGUUGUGAGCAGUGCCAUUGGCAGCACAUUAAAAAUAAAAUAAAAAAAAGAAAGAAAUGGGUAAAUCUAUGCUAUGGAUUUCAAUGUAGGGAAAUGGGAGGUCAUCUGGUCUGGACUGAAAUAGAGAAUGGAAGGGUACUUGCAAAAUGGUUUAAAUUUAGAAAUAGUGAAGGUUCAAAAGAAAACUUGGAAAUUCACAUACACAGGUCAAAAAGGACAGAUGACCAAAAGCUUGGUUAAAUACAAAGCAUUUUAAAGGAGUUCCUUAAGGAAGAAGCCAGGUAGAGAGAUGAUUAGGGAGGGAAAUUCCAGAAACCAGACAACUGACAUCAUAAAUUCUGGUGAUUAAGCAAUUAAAAUUUACAGCAGCACGGUGGUGCAGUGGUUAGCACUGCAGCCUCUCAGCGCCAGGGACCCAAAUUC
Long non-coding RNA from Stegostoma tigrinum, 3220 nucleotides. RefSeq lists it as uncharacterized. The transcript is spliced from 3 exons. Lineage: Eukaryota; Metazoa; Chordata; Chondrichthyes; Orectolobiformes; Stegostomatidae. The record is from RefSeq and is a predicted model, not a curated record.